RNAcentral lists this transfer RNA (69 nucleotides) under Takifugu ocellatus. Its description in RNAcentral is "tRNA-His". It matches the Rfam family "tRNA". Rfam says of the family: Transfer RNA (tRNA) molecules are approximately 80 nucleotides in length. Their secondary structure includes four short double-helical elements and three loops (D, anti-codon, and T loops). The record is from RNAcentral. Lineage: Eukaryota; Metazoa; Chordata; Actinopteri; Tetraodontiformes; Tetraodontidae.
GUAGACAUAGUUUUAACCAAAACAUUAGAUUGUGAUUCUAAAAAUAGAGGUUAAAACCCUCUUGUCCAC